Phasianus colchicus (ring-necked pheasant) is the source of this 2280-nucleotide long non-coding RNA. RefSeq lists it as uncharacterized. Lineage: Eukaryota; Metazoa; Chordata; Aves; Galliformes; Phasianidae. The record is from RefSeq and is a predicted model, not a curated record.
CACAAGGGAAGAAUCUCUGCUUGGAGAUUACCCCUUUGUGAAGUCUUCUCAGGGAGCCUACAUCUUUGGAAAUAGGAAUGCCUCAGGAAGGUAACCUUGAUGUGGAUGAUAUGGAUGAAAAGGGAGGUGCUUCACAGUUAUAAAAGCUGAAAUAUCAUUGUGUUAAAAUACCACCUGCUGCAGGUGCCAGAGCAACACAGCAAUGGCAAAAUGUUGGUGGGAAGAACAUCUGGGACAAUGCCUUCUGUCCUUGUCUGGCAGGAUAGAAUACUGAACUCUCUUCUUUAACCUCUCCACUCUUGGCACUUUCCUGUACGAUGGACCUCAGAAUGAUGCAAGACUGUAGUCUUUGUGACAGAAUCCCUCUGAGAGUGAAACAAUUUCUUUUCAUCUGUUGUCUUUCCCCUGGGCACCUACCAUAGCUUUUUUCUGUGUUUCUCAAACUUUUUCACUGGAGCAUUUUUCAGAAAAUUUGUAGCUCUUCUCCAUCCCAAACCAACAGAUUUUUGGAGAGUUGUUAAAAUCAUUAUCUGCAUUAGUAUUAAGCAAUUCAAAUGCAUAGUUAGGUCAUUAAAGACCUGCAGAGCUAAUGAGACACUCUUUCAUUACUCCUUUUUCCUGUCGUCCAAGGUCAUCUCACUGAGGGGACUCUCAGCUGUACACUCAUGAUCCCAGGUUUUGCAUUACUCUAUAGUCUGUAGUGUAGUCCUUUAGAUAGCAGCAUCUAUUAGCAUUUUGAUGAGACCCUGCAGGCUCUCUGCUGUUAUUUCCAUGUAGCUCUCUCCAGACAUUGUGAUACACCAUGCCACCACACGCCUUUCAGCUGUACUGCCUUCUGCACACUGCCUUAGCCCAAACUCACAUCUCCAGUAUCACACAGUAGCCUUCAGCUUUCAUUUUGUGGCACCUAGACCCAUUACGUGAUCUUUAAUUCAAUUUUUACAUGCAUCACUCUAGGAGCCAGACCUGGCUCCUGGCAAGAAGGAGCUGGGCUGCGGAUGUGCCAGGCUGGGGGUACCAGCUUUAGUAAGGGGAGUAUACCGCUUAUGGCAGCUCUGGAUAGUUGAGAGUUGAGAAGUUCCUGCACACCUCUUCUUCCAGAGAAGGCUUAUGCUUUCUGGUUGGUGUUGAAUAGUCCAAGAUCUACUUAUAGUCAUCCUGAUUUUUAUUUAAUGUAGGUAAGAUCAGAUGGCUAGCAGGGCACAAAUGAAGUGUGGUAGGUCUCUACUGGGUGGUAGCCUCUUCGGAUGGCCUUGCUCAGGUAGGGGUUCAGUUGACCCUGUCUGUUCAGGGCAGAGGCAGGCUGACCUCGUCCAUCACAGGAACAGCAUAUGAGCAGCAACUCAGCUGGCACCAAGUCUGUUGGGCUUCUGACUUUUGGCAUUCUCCUGAUAGGUGAUGUUGACAAAAUCUUUUUAUCUGUGUAUACCUUGCUUUCAUCCUCAGUGAAGCCUGUGUAAUGCUCUCAAAUUGCUUGGAAAGCAUGCUGAGAUCUAGUCAUAAUAGACAAUGUAAGAGUUAGGACUUACUAUUUCGUUAUUAACUUGCUUCACUACAUUAUGUAUCUAACUUUGGGACUUGCUUUCUUUGUUACUUUGAAGUUUAUUAUGUUACUGUUGUUUUUAAUAUGCAUGGCAGUAAUUAUGAAUAUCAGUGCAUACACAAUAACUAAGUGUACGUAUAUGCUUACUGACCUUGCUAUUAUAAUAAACUUUCUUCAAGUAUUUGUUGUCCGUCUAGAGACGUCUUAUAAACUGUUUAGUUAUUAAAGUUGCUAGUUUUUACUAUGAAAUACAAAAGUGGAAAACAGAUAUAACUAUGUCCUCAAGUGCCUGCUUAAUUUUAAAAUAAGUCUGCUUUUUGUUUUCUCUUGACUCAGUCAGUCCUGCAAGGAUUCUUGUCUUGAUGAUUUCAAAUGAACUGUUCACAUAUUUAACUGUUAAUGAGAUAAAGAUGGGUUUUGUUGGAUUGGAUUCUGCUUGACAAAGACCAUUAAAUUUUAGAUAUUUGCUACGCUGAGAAGAAAUUAAUUUCAUACUGAAGAUAACAGCUGAAAACACUGGAGGCAAUGUUUCUUAAACAGUUGAUAAAAAUGAUAAAUUUAACUUGUAGCUAUCCAGCCUUUUAUAAUAUAAAUGAUAUUGUCCCAAGGAUGCUGAUUAUUAUUAUUAUUAUUAUUAUUAUUUUAAAUGACUGUCACUGUCUGUAGUUGCCAAAUAAUAAACGUAGAAAUUUGUAAUGAAUCUAGACACCCACAUUAUAUGCCAAAUUUUGACCUUU